MicroRNA precursor from Loxodonta africana (African savanna elephant), 84 nucleotides. It matches the Rfam family "mir-493 microRNA precursor family". NCBI's taxonomy places the organism in Eukaryota, Metazoa, Chordata, Mammalia, Proboscidea, Elephantidae. The record is from Rfam.
CUGGCCUCCAGGGCCUUGUACACCCUAGGCUUUCAUUCAUUGCACAUCCAGUGAAGGCCUACUGUGUGCCAGGCCCUCGGCGAC